Non-coding RNA from Paralichthys olivaceus (Japanese flounder), 466 nucleotides. NCBI's taxonomy places the organism in Eukaryota, Metazoa, Chordata, Actinopteri, Pleuronectiformes, Paralichthyidae. The record is from RefSeq and is a predicted model, not a curated record.
CUCUCGCGCGCGACUCGCUGUAGCUCGCGCGUGCGAUAGUGAGCGGGUUUAGAAAGCGCAUUAGAGGAAACAUGGGUAAUUUGUCUGCGGAUACUGGAGGGGGCGCCUCAGGGGGGUUUAGAAGUGGGGACACCUUAGACUGUAUGCUCACUGAACACUUCCCGGAAUCUCUGGACGACACCGGCGCGUUUCAAUCAAGCUAAUUCACUUUGGCUAACUUGAAAACAACCGCCACCGGAAGCUGUCAGGUCAAGCACGCGCAAGGACUGGACAAAAAGUGAGCUGCUGUUUGAAGAGAAGACUGCAAGAAAAUACUAUCUGAGUGAGUGAGUGUGAGUGAGGAGGUGGCGUUUAAAGAGAAACUGCAGCCGGCGUCAACUAAAAGUGUCACAUCAAGCUCCAACUUGUCCAAACCAGCUUUUCCUGGGAUUGUGAAGAGGACCAGGGGAAGCCAGCGUGCUACCAG